GGAAAGGCGCGCGAUACAGGGUGACAGCCCCGUACACAAAAAUGCACAUGCUGUGAGCUCGAUGAGUAGGGCGGGACACGUGGUAUCCUGUCUGAAUAUGGGGGGACCAUCCUCCAAGGCUAAAUACUCCUGACUGACCGAUAGUGAACCAGUACCGUGAGGGAAAGGCGAAAAGAACCCCGGCGAGGGGAGUGAAAAAGAACCUGAAACCGUGUACGUACAAGCAGUGGGAGCACGCUUAGGCGUGUGACUGCGUACCUUUUGUAUAAUGGGUCAGCGACUUAUAUUCUGUAGCAAGGUUAACCGAAUAGGGGAGCCGAAGGGAAACCGAGUCUUAACUGGGCGUUAAGUUGCAGGGUAUAGACCCGAAACCCGGUGAUCUAGCCAUGGGCAGGUUGAAGGUUGGGUAACACUAACUGGAGGACCGAACCGACUAAUGUUGAAAAAUUAGCGGAUGACUUGUGGCUGGGGGUGAAAGGCCAAUCAAACCGGGAGAUAGCUGGUUCUCCCCGAAAGCUAUUUAGGUAGCGCCUCGUGAAUUCAUCUCCGGGGGUAGAGCACUGUUUCGGCAAGGGGGUCAUCCCGACUUACCAACCCGAUGCAAACUGCGAAUACCGGAGAAUGUUAUCACGGGAGACACACGGCGGGUGCUAACGUCCGUCGUGAAGAGGGAAACAACCCAGACCGCCAGCUAAGGUCCCAAAGUCAUGGUUAAGUGGGAAACGAUGUGGGAAGGCCCAGACAGCCAGGAUGUUGGCUUAGAAGCAGCCAUCAUUUAAAGAAAGCGUAAUAGCUCACUGGUCGAGUCGGCCUGCGCGGAAGAUGUAACGGGGCUAAACCAUGCACCGAAGCUGCGGCAGCGACGCUUAUGCGUUGUUGGGUAGGGGAGCGUUCUGUAAGCCUGCGAAGGUGUGCUGUGAGGCAUGCUGGAGGUAUCAGAAGUGCGAAUGCUGACAUAAGUAACGAUAAAGCGGGUGAAAAGCCCGCUCGCCGGAAGACCAAGGGUUCCUGUCCAACGUUAAUCGGGGCAGGGUGAGUCGACCCCUA
This 1047-nucleotide ribosomal RNA is filed under the name Escherichia coli. RNAcentral's name for it is "partial 23S ribosomal RNA". It matches the Rfam family "Bacterial large subunit ribosomal RNA", at positions 344 to 1393 of the family's 2925-position model. The record is from RNAcentral. Lineage: Bacteria; Pseudomonadati; Pseudomonadota; Gammaproteobacteria; Enterobacterales; Enterobacteriaceae.